AGUGAACGCUGGCGGUAGGCCUAACACAUGCGAGUCGAACGGCAGCACAGUAAGAGCUUGCUCUUACGGGUGGCGAGUGGCGGACGGGUGAGGAAUACAUCGGAAUCUAUUUUUUCGUGGGGGAUAACGUAGGGAAACUUACGCUAAUACCGCAUACGACCUACGGGUGAAAGCAGGGGAUCUUCGGACCUUGCGCGAUUGAAUGAGCCGAUGUCGGAUUAGCUAGUUGGCGGGGUAAAGGCCCACCAAGGCGACGAUCCGUAGCUGGUCUGAGAGGAUGAUCAGCCACACUGGAACUGAGACACGGUCCAGACUCCUACGGGAGGCAGCAGUGGGGAAUAUUGGACAAUGGGCGCAAGCCUGAUCCAGCCAUACCGCGUGGGUGAAGAAGGCCUUCGGGUUGUAAAGCCCUUUUGUUGGGAAAGAAAAGCAGCAGGUUAAUACCCCGCUGUUCUGACGGUACCCAAAGAAUAAGCACCGGCUAACUUCGUG
RNAcentral lists this ribosomal RNA (492 nucleotides) under uncultured bacterium. RNAcentral describes it as "partial 16S ribosomal RNA". It matches the Rfam family "Bacterial small subunit ribosomal RNA", at positions 29 to 507 of the family's 1533-position model. The record is from RNAcentral.